Molecule: ribosomal RNA, 408 nt
Filed under: uncultured bacterium
Lineage: Bacteria
Description: partial 16S ribosomal RNA
Rfam family: Bacterial small subunit ribosomal RNA
Source: RNAcentral
GACGAACGCUGGCGGCGUGCCUAACACAUGCAAGUCGCACGGAGUGGCGAACGGGUGAGUACCACGUGGGUGAUCUGCCUUGCACUUCCGGAUAAGCUUGGGAAACUCGGUCUAAUACCGGCUAGUGCAAGAUGAUCUCGCGGGCUAUCGGCUUGUUGGUGGGGUAAUGGCCUCCCAAGGCGUCGACGGGUCGCCGGCCUGAGAGGGGGUACGGACACAUUGGGACUGAGAUACGGCCCAGUCGCCAACGGGAGGCAGCGGUGGGGAAUAUUGCACAAUGUACGGGAGCCUGCUGCAGCGACGCUGGGUGGGGGAUACAGGGCUUCGGGUUGUAAACUCCUUUGGACAGGGACGCGGUACCUGUAUAGGAAGCACCGGCUAACUACGUGCCAGCAGCCGCGGUAAUUC